CUGCAAUCCUAUGGUUUGCAAUGUGCUUGCUGCAAAUACUGUAGAGGAAAUAUGGAAUGCGUGUUUAUAAUAUACACUCCAGAUAAAUCUGUUGUUUCCUUACCAAUGAGGUUCUGAAGAUAUGAGGGGCAGAAAGAUGGCAAAGAAGCAUCAUUCAGGGUGCGGGACCUUUCGAGCAUACAUUAGCGCCAUUACAAAAUCCUUUGCUGAGGAGCCAAUGGAUGCUGGUACUCGUUCUAAUGUUGAUGCUGUCUGUAUCCAUAGAUCCACUAAAUUGUACAACAAUAAUGUGGGGACUACCGGUUGUCCCAUACAUCUAAUCUCAACCUCAGCUUCACUAGCAAGGUCAAAUUUCUUC
RNAcentral lists this unclassified non-coding RNA (358 nucleotides) under Hevea brasiliensis (rubber tree). Lineage: Eukaryota; Viridiplantae; Streptophyta; Magnoliopsida; Malpighiales; Euphorbiaceae. The record is from RNAcentral.